AUUAUUAUAUUAUUAUUAUUACUGUGAUUUCUUCCUACAAUCCCAAAGAUUUCACUAGCCGUGCAAAUCUUAAAAUUUUUCUUUAAAAGUACUUUUAUUGGCCUAACUGACAUGAAACAAAGAAGGAUUCUAGGCCCUGAGAUGGUAAGAUUUGGGGUGGAGGUUCUGUGUCUGUCUCCUUCCCCAUAGAAUUACCAAAUUUCCCAUCUAGCUCUGCCAGACUGCUGAAUGGUCUCUAAGUAAGUACAGCCUACAUUUCAAGGCUGUUUCCUCAGCCAAAAAUGCCCCUUCUCGUUGUCUGCUGUGAAACUCCCUUCCUCUUACCCUCCUCUUUCCAUUAUGGGACUGUGUUCUCUUCUGGGCUCCCUUGAGGACUUCACACUAUUAUUCCAUUGACUUCAUGUUGUUAUUUUUGGUUUUGUAUUCAGUAUGUCUUUGCUCAACUAGACCCUCAGGAUCUCCAUCACCUGUACCACCCAGCCUCUCCUUCCCAGCCUUCCCCAGCACCUGGUAUACAUUCAUGGAAGAAUUAACUUUUGAACCCUGUGGAUUUCAUCACAAUAAUGCUGCAUGGGUUUAGGAUAGACAUUCACAAUCUGAGAUGAGCAGCGCUAACCCCCAUCCCUAAAGGAAACCUAGUAAGGGUGGUGAUUAGAGACAUUUUGAAUGAUUACUUCAGGAAAGGAUCAAAUUCAUUGAAAAGCUGCUAUCUUAGUGAAGAUGUAACUAUGAAAAGACAUAAAAGACAAAAUCCUAAUAACUGUAUAUUUGCAAGUGCCUUUUUUUAAGAAUAGGAAUCAUCUCACCAGAGUAUUUGAGAAAGGAUGUGUGUGGUUGUUUGCAUGUCGCUGCCAAUAGUUAAGAAUGUUUCAUUCUUCUGGGAUCACUAAGCCUAAGAGGAUAAUUUGAGGUUACUCUUGGGGAGGAAAGGACACUUAUGUUGGGAAUUCAAUCGAUGGUAGUUAAGUGUCCUUUUUGUUUAAUAAUUGGGGUAAGUAUGACAAAUAUACAACAUUCCCAGGGAGUGAGGAGAGAGGCUAAAGAAGACAGAUGAGCAAAAUAGGCUUGAUUGAGAAAAGCAGAAUUUCUACUACCAGUGACAAUUGUGGGAGCAGCGUUCCUGUAAUGGAGGGGAAAUGAAUAAAAUCUGAGGUCCCAGCUCAACAGGGACCUUUCUCCUGCUAGCCAGCUGGAAGGCAGGCUUGAAAAAAAAAAAAAAAAAAAAGGAAGCACGGGGAAGGAUGUUUUUUUUAAUAAGUCAUCUCGGAAAUGAUCAUGAACACAGUAAAGCUGGUUUUCAAAAAAGGAAAGUGAGAAAAGAAGUGGUAGCUUGAAGCUGGUCAUUGACGAAGAGAGAAAACUUCUGAACCUCCCAAGAGGGUGUACCUGGUUUGAGUGGGCAGGACUCCAAAGCCUUUAGGAUCGAUGGACCAGAACAGAGAAAUGAAAGUGCAACAAGAACAACUUUGCGGAAAAGGCAGGAGCAGGGUAGGAAGCAAAAAGGGUGUGUACUUUUCCUUUCUGAUCUGAGAAAGGGAAAUUUUGUGCUGGGAAGAGUUAUGUGGGAGGAGGAAGGAAAGGCGCCAGGAAUUCCCGGAAGGUAUGUGAUGUGUGACCUUAUAAUCUCCUGCAACAAUUUCUACACUGAUUGGGACACCCUGUGUGUAAGCAUCCCUUCACCUCUGCUCUAAAAAUGCCAUUAGGCUAUCUUUAUCAAGUUUUGGUAUUGAUCUUAUGGGUCAGUUCCUGAGAAGGAGAGAAGUCCUUGAGUUGUUGGGUAAAUGUGGUUCAAGUAAGAUGCUGAACGGUGCCAGCCAUGUAGACUCCGCCACAGUGAAGGAGGAAGGUUCUCAUUGCUAAGGCUUAUUUUGAGGCUCAGUGACCAUCUCAUUCCUACUGCUGGCCCACAGUAGGGAAUCAGACCUUUAGCAGACACAGAUCUCUUCAAAUACAGAGUGAACUUGGGACAGCUAAUCAUCUGGGUCAAGAUGAACACUCCACGAGGGACAGCACAGAAUAUACCCAAACUGAGAGCCACAAGCAGCACUGACGAGUGAAGGAACAUUUGGGAGGAUCAGAAGCUUGGUGCUGAUUUUGUCACAUUAACCAGUACCUUGAUGACUUCCAGGGAAUCCCCAAACCCUGGGUUUCUGUUUUCUCAACUCUAGCAUGAGAGGCUAGACUCACCUGGUUUAGUUUGUCUCCAUGAUGGUUUAGUUCAUCUCCAUGAUUCUGUGAAUUUCAGAUGUUGAACAUCUUCAGAACAGCCCUGAAAGAUGAACAGGCAGGAGUUAUUGUCUAUAUUUUAUCUAUGAGGAAACUAAGGACCUAGAAAUUUAAAGAGCUCAUUAGCUUUGGAACCAGUAUCAGAAAUGAGUUCCUCAGAAUUCUAGUCCCAAACUCAUAGCAUGAGAGAAAUGUGGACCUUUCGUUCCAGGAGUUUAUCAUCUAAUUGGUAUUUAGCUGGUACAGGAUUAAGGCAAGAUUACAGGUUCUUGAGAAACAUAAGCAACAGAGACAAGAACAUCAGAAAGGGCUGGUGUGACUUGGGUCAUGUCUGCUGAUGGAGGUGAUAUCAGGAGAGGUUGUUUGCUGAGAAGUUUGCAAUCCCUAGAGCCCAAGUGGGUGUUGCCAGGAAACCCUGAGUUUUCCAACUUGGCAAUCAGUGCACAACCGAGUUAUUAGAGGAAAUUGCCCAGUUCUUUGGCAAUUGUAUGUGGUAUAAAUAUGGUUUUGAAAUUCUAUAUCUUAGCUUAGCGAAAGGUGGAAACAUUUUGGAAUCCAUGGAUUUGGGAGAUCUGCUGCCAUUGCUAUUAUAAUUACUUUUAGCAGAAGUGUACACUAUGACAUUAAAUUGCUCAAAAAGAUUCAAUUUUCUAAUCUUUGAGACUUCUUAAAAAGGAAUGAACCCCAAGUAGAGUGAAAGUGGAUUUCAAAAAGCAGUUUAUUCUGAAUGAAAAAAGAAUCAUUCUUGGCUCUACCUCUGACAAACUGGCUGUGUGUCCCCAGAAAAUUCACGUAAUGUCUCAGAUCCUCAACUUCAACUGCAAAUAAAGGUGUUAGAGGAGAUCAUCUUUAAAGGCCAGCUCAGCUCUAACAUACUAUGAUUGGAUACCACAUACUGUUCCACGUUCUUUUCUCUAACUCUUAGGGAUUGCUGCUCUUCCAGCCUUUACAAAUAUAACCUUUCAUUGUCACACUCAUUCUUCCUUGUCCUAAAAACAGGCCCAGGCAUAGCCUGGGGCCACUCCUGAGAGCUAUAGCAGGUGGCACCUAGUGUCUCAACAGUAACUAUCUACACUCCUAGGGAAAGUUAUCUCACAGAAGUGUAGAGAGGCUGACCUCGCCUAGAAAGACAAUAAUGUAUAAUGAUUGAAAGAAAGCAUAGGCUCUAAAGUCAGCCAGACCUGGAUGAAUCUGCCACCUACUAGAGACCUUGGGCAAGCAAGUUUGCCAUGCCUGGUACCUAGUGAGUGUUGUGGGCCUCUAUUCUGGAGGGACAGCAGGGUCUUAUGAAACCAGCAUGAGAUGGUAAAUGCUUUGCAGGCUGGAUUUUUAACAGGAAAUGCCACCCCUGUUUUCUCCAACAUCUCUGGCAAAAUUGCUAACCCAAAGGUACCAGGCCCAGCUAGUCAUGAAGGGGAGAGAAGUCAUCUCCAUCCAAGAGAAAAUCAUUUGAUGUUUAAAGGAGCGGUUUAGAUUGUUAUGAAGGAACAGAGGGAGAGAAGAGGCAAAGACAGAGAAAGGGAUGGACGAGAAUAAAGAAAAGAGAGAAAGCAGUAGGAGACAAAUGAGAAGGUCAAAGCUGAUAAUUUUCACUUCAUGAUAAAAGGAAUUUCUAAGCAAAUUCUAACCAUUUUAUCAAGAAGACGAAACAAAUUCACUAACAUAUUUCCACUUAAAGAAAUGCAUGGGCAUUUUCUUUGCAAGUGGAGUUUGUUUAAAAAUUAGGUAUUGAAUGCUUUAUGCUUUUUAAAAAAAUCUCGAUUGAUUCUGGACAUGCACAUUCCAGUUGAUAGACAGAUCAAAGAGUCUUUGAUUUUCUUACUGGUAACUUGGCACCAGUUACCAGUGGCUUCAUAUGAAUCUAUCGACUGCUGUGGGAUGGCAGAGCAGCUAAGAGUGCAAGACUAGUCUACACAGGCCUGCAGCUGCCACAUUCUGAUGCAUCAAAGCCACAGCAAGUUCCUAAAACAUGGGCUCCAGAUCUAGAUGCUUUCGGUUCAAAUUUUUACUCCAUUAUUUCUUAGAUGGCAAUUAAGACUUAUGACAAUUAGACUUAUGGCAAUUAUUUACUACUUGAAAGCUUAGUUUCCACAUCUGUAAAAUAGGGCUAAUGAUAGUACUUGCUUCAUAAGCUUGAUGAUUAAAUGAAAUAAUAAUUGGAUGAGAUAACGCAUUUAGCUCAAUACUCACCCAUAAACAAUUUUUUUUUUUUAUGAGAUGAAGCCUCACUGUUCCCCAGGCUGGAGUACAGUGGUGUGAUCUCGGCUCACUGAAAUCUCUGCCUCCCGGAUGCAAGCAAUUCUCUUGCCUCAGUCUACUGAAAAGCUGGGAUUACAGGCACAUGCCACCAUGCCCAGCUAAUUUUUUAAAAUUUUUAGUAAGGAUGGGGUUUCACCAUGUUGGCCAGGCUGGUCUUGAACUCCUGGCCUCAAGUAAUCCCCCCAUCUUGGCCUCCCAAAGUGCUGGAAUUACAGGCAUGAGCCACCACACCAAUUUUUAAUACUUACUCAAUUACUAUGUUCUUUUUCUAGGAACUGUGGAAUGUAGAACCCUAUGAUUCCCCCCAAGUUCAAAGAUAUAGGCAAGUAAGUAUAAUAUAAGUGUGGAUACAGAUUUUGUAGGCUAUAUGUCAUGGCCUCUGUCCCAUAUCAAUUUAAUACUUAUUUUCCAAUGUGAUACCCUGAAAUCCCAGAAGAGAAAAAUUAAAAACAUGAUAAAAACUAUCAAAGGUAUAUUCAUUCAGCCACGCAAAUUGUAAAAUCAUAGAAAUCAUUCUAUUUGGUCACAAUUUAAAAGAAGAAAUUUACUAUAAGAAAAAUAAACACACACACAAAAACACAUUGAAUGCCACCUGAAGAAGAAUCACCAAUCCAACUAUUUUACCCUGCCCACCUUCACCAUGUUUUUCACAAUUGCCAAUAAAAAGUAGUUACCAUUUAUUGUACCAGACAGUGAGGUAAGUGCUUUAUAAACCCUGUCUCAUUUAACUGUCCCCAGAGCCCUAUGAGUAGGUAUGUUAGUGCCAUGCCCAUGUCAUGAAUGAGGAGAUAUGCCUGGCCAGAGAGGCAAGUUGGGAUUCACACACGGCAGACUUGCUCCAGGGCCUGUGUUCUCAACACUGCAUGGUGCUGCUUCUGAUCUGGGUUGUCAAAUCUCAGCACCCAGCACUCCUGGCUUGGGUAGAAGGGAAUGGGCCCAGAGGUGCUGAGAAUGGAUCUCAUGUCCACCUGGGGGCAAAGUUGGAACAGAAAGUACAUGGAGAGCCUGGGCUAAGAGGGAAGCUGCCAUGAUGAAAACCAAACUCAACCAGUAAGAGGAGUAAACUAUAAAUAUAAAUCUCAGUUAUGUGAUUAUGCCACCCCAUAGGUGAUUCCAGUAGUUAACUUAGAGCUAUCAAAGAUAUAUGGUACUCUGUAUAUACUUGAAUCCACUUCCCCAGCUUGACACUCCAAGGAGUCAGUUGUUCUCUAGGCCAGAUUAUUUCCCCACAAACAUUGCAAUAUGCCCAGUCUUCUCAUUAUAUAAGAUCUCUAUUAUAUGGGGGACCUUAUGUAAUUUCAUCAUAUGGAUGAAAAAUGGAUUAUUUUGCCAUUUGGCUUUUCUCUCUAAGAUUCAAAGUGCUUUUAUUUAUAGACUUUCACGAUCUAACCAAUUCACCCGAGAAGUAGGAAGAGGGCAGCUUUUUUAUUUUCAAAUUGUGGACUGAGAAAUUGAGAUAUGCAGAAAGAAAUAAAGCUGUUCUGCAAUUUGGAAAGCCAUCUGUGAUGCUAUAAAAAUGUCUCACUGUACUCUUGACCAUAUAAAUCACUAUUUUUAUUGCCUUCUCUCUGGAUGAGAUGUGGCUUAAUUUGAGAGAGCUGUUUAUCAUUUGGCAAGCUAAAGGAUCCUAAUUUCAAGUCUCCAUUCUAGUGGGUGGUAAGAAUAAAGGGAAUUUUCUUUAGGGGAAGAGGAAAUGAUAAGAAUGGGAAGGAAACAGACCUAAAAAAAUCGAGUUUGAAGCCUUUUGGAUAAUUAUGGAUUUAAUUUGCCCAAGCAUGGGUGUGGGAUCACAUGGAGUGUGUUUGAAUUCUAAGCCACCAUUAUGAUCACUACUUAAUGUUUCUUUCUACCACUCCCUUUCUACAGUGAGUACAUGACUAAGAUGACAACAGCUUAAAUGAGUUAGUGCAUGAUAUGGUUUGGCUCUGUGUCCCCACCCAAAUCUCAUGUUGAAUUGUAAUCGUAAGUGUUGGACAUGGGGCUUAGUGGGAGAUGAUUGGAUCAUGAGGGUGAUUUCUAGUGGUUUAGCACCAUCCCCAUGGUGCUGCCUCAUAAUAAAGUUCUCAGGAGAUCUGGUUGUUUGAAAGUAUGUAGCACUUCCCCACCCUUCUCCUGCUGGCCAUGUGAAUGUGUGCCUGUUUCUCCUUUACCUUCUGCCAUGAUUGUAAGUUUCCUGAGACUGCCCCAAAAGCAGAAGCCUGUACAGCCCACAGAACUGUGAGCUGAUUAAACAUCUUUUCUUUAUAAGUUACCCAGUCUCAGGUACUUCUUUAUAGCAAUGCAAGAACAGACUAAUGCAGAAAAUUUGUACCAGAGAAGUGAGGCAUUGCUAUAAAGAAGCCUGAAAAUGUGGAAGCAGCUUUGAAACUAAAUAAUGGGCAGAGGUCGGAACAGUUUGGAAAGCUCAGAAGAAGACAGGAAGAUGAGGAAAUGUUUGGAACUUCCUAGAGACUUGUUUAAUGGAUUUGACCAAAAUGUUCAUAGUGAUAUGGACAGAGAUGCCCAGGCUGAUGAGGUCUCAGACAGAGAUGAGGAACUUAUUGGGAACUGGAAUAAAGAUCACUCUUGCUAUGCUUUAGCAAAGAGACUGGUGGAAUUGUGCUCCUGCUCUGGGGAUCUGUUGAACUUUGACCUUCAGAGAAAUGAUUUAGGGUAUCUGGCAGAAGAAAUUUCUAAGCAUCAAAGUGUUCAAGAUGUGGUCUGGCUGCUUCCAAAAGCCGAACUCAUCUGCAUAAACAAAGAAAUGACCUGAAACUGGAACUUAUGACUGAAACUGGAAAAAAGGAGACAAAGCAUAAAACAUUAGAAAAUAUGUAGCCUGCCCAUGUGGUAGAAAAGAAAACCCCAUUUUGGGGGUAGAAAUUCAAGCCUGAUAUAGAAAUUUGCAUAAGUAAAUAGGAGCCAGAUGUUAAUAGCCAAGACAAUAAGGAAAAUGCCUAUGAGACAUUUCAGAGACCUUUGGGGAAGCCCCUCCUAUCACAGGCCUGGAGGCCUACAAGGGAAAAAUGGUUUCAUGAAGCCAGGCCCAGGGCCCUGCUGCUUUGUACAGCCUUGGGUCAUGACACUCUGCAUUCCACCUGCUCCAGCUCCAGCUGUGGCUAAAAGGGCCCCAGAUAUGUCUCAUACUGCUGCUCUAGAAGGUGCAAGACACAAGCCUUGGUGGCUUCCACGUGGUGUUAAACUUGCAAGUACACAGAGGUAAAAGUUGAGGCUUGGGAACCUCCAACUAGAUUUCAGAGGAUGUAUGGAAAGGCCUGGAUGUCCAAAAAGAAGUCUCCUACAGGGGCAGAGCCUUCAUGGAGAAUAUCUAAUAGGGCAGUGCAAAGGGGAAAUGUGAGGUUGGAGCCCCCACCCAGAGUCCCCACUGGGACACUGCCUAGUAGAGUUGUGAGAAGAAGAUCAUCAUCCUUCAGACUUCAGAAUGAUAAAUCUACUGACAGCUUGCACCAUGUAGCUGGAAAAGCCACAGGUACUCAAUAUCAGUUCAUGAAAGCAACCACAGGGGAUGUACCCUACAAAGCCACAGAAACAGAGCUGCCCAGAACCUUGGGAGCCCACCCCUUGCAUCAGUGUGGCCUGGAUGUGAGACACAGAGUCAAAGAAAAUUAUUUUGGACAAGAUUUAAUGACUGCCCUGCUGGGUUUCGGACUUGCAUGGGGCCUGUAGCCCCUUUGUUUCGGCUGAGUUCUCCUUUCUGGAAAGGGAAUAUUUACCCAAUGCCUGUACCUCUACUGUAUCUUGAAAGUAACUAAUUUGUUUUCGAUUUUACAAGCUCAUAGGUGGAAGGGACUUGCCUUGACUCAGAUGAGACUUUGGACUUGGACUUUUGAGUUAAUUCUGGAAUGAGUUAAGACUUUGAGGGACUGUUGAGAAGGGAUUAUUGUAUUUUACAAAGUGAGAGGAUAUGAGAUUUGGGAAGGGUGGAAUAAUAUGGUUGGGUUCUGUGUCCCUACCCAAAUCUCAUGUUGAAUUGUGAUUCCAAGUGUUGUAAGUGGGGCUUGGUGGGAGGUGAUUGGAUCAUAGGGAUAGUUUCUAAUAGUUUAACACCAUUCAUCCAAUGCUGUCUCAUGAUAGAGUUCUCAGAAAAUCUGGUUGUUUGAAAGUGUGUAGCAUCUCUAUCACCUGUUUCCCCUUCACCUUCUGCCAUGAUUGUAAGUUUCCUGAGGCCUCCAUAGAAGCAGAAGCCUGUUCAGCCCACAGAACCAUGAGCUGAUUAAACAUCUUUUCUUUGGAAAUUACCCAGUCUCGAAUAAGCUGAGGAAGACGGUGCUGUAGGACCAACUCAGGAUUGCAGCUCCCAGUUAAUCUGCAGAGGGUGAGUGGAUGCCACAUUUCCAUACGGAUAUUUAUUGUCCACAGACUAGGAGAUUCCCAGGUGUAAGAGCCCCACGGGCCACCAGCGCGGCAGUUUGGGCCGGCGCGGCUGUUUGGGCCGGCACGACUGUUUGGGCUGAGGCUGCAGUGCAGCGACACUCUGUACAAAAUACACUGGUUUGGUUGCCCUGUUAAACCAGCAAUUGGCAAUUUUGGAAGGCAGAUUAGCACAUUCAUCUGAUUAAAUGGGACUUAAACAGAAAGCCAGGCCAGGAGAUUCCCAGGCAGCAACGUGGUUUGAGCCAGCGCAGUGGGUCGCUGCACAGGAAAUCACACAGAUCCCAGCGCCCUUGCAGUAGGUGACUGGAACACCUGGGAGAGAGUCAUCCGUUCAACUUUAAAAAAAAAAAAAAAAAAAAGGGCUCUGAGGCAGGGAGCCAGGUGAUCAGGCUCAGCGGGUCCCACCCCCACAAAAACAAACAAAACAGCAAUUGGAAAUGCUCGGGGUUGAGAGUUUCAUGGCAAGCACAGGUGAACCCAGGACAGUGCAGCUCAGUGGGGGAGGGGAGUCCACCAUUACUGAGGUACGCGACCCCUACAGAGGUAUGCUGCCAUUGCUGACGCAGCCUGCCAUUGCCAAGGCAACCCGCCAUAACAGAGAGAGUCUGCCACUACAGAGGCAGGCUACCAUCGCCACUGCAGUUCUAACCACACCCAUAUAAACAGGGCUAGAGGGAAUUACACAUGGCAGCAGGGUGGAGCCCACGACAGCAGGGCGGAGCCCACAGCAACAGGGCGGAGCCCAUGGCAGCUCAUGAUAGCCACUACAGGCAGGCAGUGACUAGACUGCCUCCUCGCUGGGCAGGAAAGUGCAACGGAUACUCAUAAAUAAAGCCCUAACUCCCUGAGACAGAGCACCUGAGGAAAAAAAAAAGGGGGCUUUAUGAGUUCUGCUGCAGCACACUUAAAUGUACCUGCCUAGCAGCCCUGAAUGAACAACGGAGCUCACAGCUCAGCACUAGAGCUCCUAUAAAGUACAGGCUGUCUCCUCAAGCAGCUCCCUGACCUUUGUAUAUCCAAAGAGUCACCUCACAAAGGACUGAUCAGACUGACAUUUGGCAGGCAUCAUUCAGGGACAAAGAUAGCAGAAGGAGAAUCUGGUAGCAACCCUCAUGGUUCUGCAGCUGCUACAGGAGUUCCCCAGGCAAGCAGGGCCUGGAGUGGACCUCAGCAGUCCUACAGCAGUGGGGCCAGACUGUUAGAAGGAAAACUAAGAAACAGAAAUACUUCAUCAUCAACAAUCUGGACAUCCACUCAGAGACCCAAUUGGAAAAUAAGCAACCACUCAAACAACAGGUGGAUAAAUCCACAAAGAUGGGAAGAACCCAGCGCAAAAAGGAGGAAAACACCCAAAACCAGAACACCUCGCCUCCUACAAAGGACCAAAACUCCUCACCAGCAAGGGAACAAAGCUGGACGGAGAAUGAGUGUGAUGAAAUGACGGAAUCAGACUUCAGAAGGUGGGUAAUGAGAAACUUCUGUGAGCUAAAAGAACAUGUUCUUUUUUUUUUUUUUUAAAGAAAGGAAAAAAAAGGAGUGAAGGAGAGGAAGAAAGAGGAAGAAAAAGAGGGAGAGAGAACCGGAAUAUAGCUGUAUUCUAAAAAUGGGUAUUAAUAAUGGCCAACCAAUAUUUUGUGUAUUUAAUAUGGAGAAUGUAUAUUUUGUGUAUUUAAAAUGGAGAGCUCUAUAAAUGUUUAUUGAGUUUACUUGUUCCAAAUCUGAGUUCAAGUCCUGGAUAUCUUUAUUAAUUUUCUGUCUCGUGAGUCUAAAUCUCUUUAUGAGUCUUAUGUAUCUGGGUGUUAGGAUCAUUAGCUCUUAUUGUUGCAUUGAUCCUUUUACCACUAUAUCUUUGUUGCUUUGAAAUCUAUUUUAUCAGAUGCGAGAAUUGCAACUCCUGCUUUUUACUUAUUUAUUUAUUUUUGCUCCCCAUUUGGUUGGUAAAUCUUUCUCCAUCCCUUUGUUUUAAGACUUUGUGUAUCUUUGGAUGUGAAAUGGGUCUGGAUGUGGCAUACCAUUAGGUUUUGGCUGUAUCUUUUGAUUGGGGGAUUUAGUCGACUUAAAUUUAGGGUUACUGCCAUUUGAUGUUAACUGGCUAUUUUAUCCAUUCAUUGAUGUAAAUUCUUCAUGUUGAUGCUUGUUGAUGUUGAUGCUCUUUACUUUUUGGUAUAUUUUUAGAAAGGCUAAUACUGGUUGUUCCUUUCUAUGUAUAAUGCUUCUUUCAGAAGCUCUUGUAAAGCCAGCCUGGUGGUAAUAAAAUCUCUGAGUACUUGCUUGUUCAUAAAAGAUUUUAUUUUUCCUUCAAUUGUGAAGCUUAGUUUGGCAGGAUAUGAAAUUCUGGGCUGAAAGUUCUGUUCUUUAAGGAUGUUGAAUAUCGGUCCCCACUCUCUUCUGGCUUGCAGGGUUUCUGCUGAGAGAUUUGCUGUAAGUCUGAUAGGCUUCCCUUUGUGGGUAACCUGACCUUUCUCUCUGGCUGCCCUUAGUAUUUUCUCCUUUGUUUCAACCCUGGUGAGUCCAAUGAUUAUGUGUCUUGGGGUUGCUCUUCUUGAAGAAUAUCUUUGUGGUGUUCUCUGAAUUACCUGGGGUUGACUAUUGUCCUGCUUUGCUAGAUUCAGAAAGUUUUCCUGAAUAAUAUCCUGAAGACAAGAAUAGAGAAAAAAGGAUAAAAAGGAAUGAGCAAAGUCUCCAAGAAAUAUGGGACUAUUUGAAAAGACCUAAUUUAUGUUUGAUAGGUGUACCUGAAUACAACGAAGAGAAUGAAUCCAAGCUGGAAAAUACUCUUCAAGAUAAAAGAACAUGUUCUAAAUCAAUGCAAAGAAACUAAGAACCUUGAAAAAAGAUUUGAAAAAAGAUUUGAGGAAAUGAUAACAAGAAUGGACAACUUAGAGAGGAAUAUGAGUGAAUGGAAGGAGCUGAAAAACACAACACGAGAACUUCACAAAGCAUGCACAAGUUUCAACAGCCAAAUUGACCAAGCAGAAGAAAGGAUUUCAGAAGUCGAAGAUCAACUCAAUGAAAUAAAACAAGAAGCCAAGAUUAGAGAAAAAAGUGCAAAAAGGAAUAAACAACGUCUCCAAGAAAUGUGGAAUUAUGUGAAGAGACCUAAUCUAUGUUUGAUAGGUGUACCUGAAUGUGACAAAGAGAAUGAAUCCAAGCUGGAAAAUACUCUUCAGGAUAUUAUCCAGGAAAAUUUCCCCAACCUAGCAAGGCAGGCCAAUAUUCAAGUCCAGGAAAUACAGAGAACACCACAAAGAUAUUCCACAAGAAGAGCAACCCCAAGGCACAUAAUCGUCAGAUUCACCAGGGUCGAAAUGAAGGAGAAAAUGCUAAGGGCAGCCAGAGAGAAAGGUCGAGUCACCAACAAAGGGAAGCCCAUCAGACUCAUAGCAGAUCUCUUGGCAGAAACCCUACAAGCCAAAAGAGAGUGAGGGGCCAAUAUUCAACACCCUUAAAGAAAAGAACUUUCAAUCCAGAAUUUCAUAUCCAGCCAAAGUGAGCUUCAUAAGUGAAGGAAAAAUAAAAUCCUUUGCAAACAAGCAAGUACUCAGAGAUUUUGUCAGCACCAGGCCUGCUUUACAAGAGCUCCUGAAAGAGGCACCACACAUAGAAAGGAACAACCAGUACCAGCCAUUCCAAAAACAUACCAAAUGCUAAAGAGCAUUAAUAAAAUGAAGAAUCUGCAUCAACUAAUGGGCAAAACAGCCAGCUAGCAUCAAAAUGGCAGUAGCAAAUUCACACAUAACAAUAUUAACCCUAAAUGUAAAUGGGCUAAAUGCACCAAUCAAAAGACACAGACUGGCAAAUUGGAUAAAAAGCCAAAACCCAUCGGUGUGCUGUAUCCAGGAAACCCAUCUCACAUGCAAGGAUACACAAAGGCUCAAAAUAAAGGGAUGGAGGAAGACUUACCAAGCAAAUGGAGAGCAAAAAAAAGCAGGAGUUGCAAUUCUCAUCUCAGAUAAAAUAGAUUUUAAAGCAACAAAGAUCAAAAGAGACAAAGAAGGACAUUACAUAAUGGUAAAAGGAUCAAUAUAACAAGAAGAGCUAACGAUCCUAAAUAUAUAUGGACCCAAUACAGGAGCACCCAGAUAUAUAAGGAAAGUUCUUAAUGACUUACAAAGAGACUUAGACUCCCACACAAUAAUAGUGGGAGACUUCAACACUCCACUGUCAAUAUUAGACAGAUCAACUAGACAGAAAAUUAACAAGGAUAUACAGGGCUUGAACUCAGACCUGGAACAAGCAAACAUGAUAGACAUGUACAGAACCCUCCACCCCAAAUCCACAGAAUAUACAUUCUUCUCAGCACCACAUCACACCUACUCUAAAAUUGACCACGUAAUUGGAAGUAAAGCACUCCUCAGCAAAUGCAAAACAACUGACAUAAUAACAAACAGUCUCUCAGACCAUAGUGCAAUCAAGUUAGAACUCAGAAUUCAGAAACUAACUCAGAACUGCACAGCUUCAUGGAAACUGAACAACUGGCUCUUGAAUGUUGACUGGAUAAACAAUGAAAUGAAGGCAGAAAUAAAGAAGUUCUUCGAAACCAAUGAGAAUGAAGACACAACAUACCAGAAUCUCUGGGACACAUUUAAAGCAGUCUCUAGAGGAAAAUAUAUAGCAAUAAGUGCCCACAUGAGAAGAGUGGAGAGAUCCAAAAUUGACACCCUAUCGUCAAAAUUGAAAGAGCUAGAGGAGCAAGAUCAAAAAAACUCAAAACCUAGCAGAAGACAAUAAAUAACUAAGAUCAGAGCAGAACUGAAGGAGAUAGAGACACGAAAAACCCUUCAAAAAUCAAUAAAUCCAAGAGCUGGUUUUUUGAAAAGAUCAACAAAAUAGACAGACCACUAGCUAGACUGAUAAAAAAGAAAAGAGAGAAUAACCAAAUAGAUGCAAUAAAAAAUGAUAAAGGGGAAAUCACCACAGACUCCACAGAAAUUCAAACUAUCAUCAGAGAAUAUUACAAACAACUCUAGGCACAUAAACUAGUAAACCUGGAAGAAAUUGAUAAAUUCCUGGACACUUGUGUCCUCCCAAGCCUAAACCAGGAGGAAGCUGAAACUAUGAAUAAACCAAUAAUAAGGUCAGAAGUUGAGGCAGCAAUUAAGAGCCUACCACACACAAAAAGCCGAGGUCCAGAUGAGUUCACAGCCUAAUUCUACCAGACACACAAAGAGGAGCUGGUACCAUUCCUUCUAAAACUAUUUCAAACAAUCCAAAAAGAGGGAAUACUUCCCAAAUCAUUUUAUGAGACCAACAUCAUCCUGAUACCAAAACCCAGCAGAGACUCAACAAGAAAAGAAAACUUUAGGCCAAUAUCCAUGAUGAAUAUAGAUGCAAAAAUCUUCAAUAAAAUACUAGCAAGCUGAUUGCAACAGCACAUCAAAAAGCUUAUCCAUCAUGAUCAAGUAGGAUUCAUCCCGGGGAUGCAAGGCUGGUUCAACAUAAGCAAGUCUAUAAAUGUAAUUCACCACAUCAACAGAACCAAAAACCAAAACCACAUGGUUAUCUCAAUUGAUGCAGAGAAGGCCCUUGACAAAAUUCAACAGCCCUUUAUGCUAAAAACCCUCAAUAAACUCGGUAUUGAUGGAACAUAUCUCAAAAUAAUAAAAGCUAUUUAUGACAAACCAACAGCCAAUAUCAUACUGAAUGGGCAAAAACUGGAAGCAUUCCCUUUGAAAUCUGGCACUAGACAAGGAUGCCCUCUCUCACCACUCUUAUUCAAUAUAGUACUGGAAGUUCUAGCCAGAGUAAUCAGGCAAGAAAAAGAAAUAAAGGGUAUUCAAAUAGAAAAGGAGGAAGCCAAAUUGUCUCUAUUUGCAGACAACAUGAUAGUAUAUCUAGAAGACCAAAACUCCUGAAACUGAUAAGCAACUUCAGCAAAGUCUCAGCAUAUAAAAUCAAUGUGCAAAAAUCACAAGCAUUCCUAUACAACAGACUUAAAGAGAGCCAAAUCAAGAACAAACUGCCAUUCACAAUGCUACAAAGAGAAUAAAAUACCUAGGAAUACAACUUACAAGGAACAUAAGGGACCUCUUCAAGGAGAACUACAAACCACUGCUCAAUGAAAUAAGAGAGGACACAAACAGAUGGAGAAACAUUCCAUGUUCAUGGUUAGGAAGAAUCAAUAUCAUGAAGAUGGCCAUACCGCCCAAAGUAAUUUAUAGACUCAAUGCUAUCCCCAUCAAGCUACCAUUGACUUUCUUCACAGAACUGGAAAAAAACACCUUGAACUUCAUAUGGAACCAAAAGAGAGCCCGCAUAGCCAAGUCAAUUCUAAGCAAAAAUAACACAGCAGGAGGCAUCACACUACUGGACUUCAAACUAUACUACAAGGCUACAGUAAUCAAAACAGCAUGGUAAUGGUACCAAAACAGAGAUAUAGACCAAUGGAACAGAACAGAGGCAUCGGAGGCAACACAACAAAUCUACAACCAUACAAUCUUUGAUAAACCUGACAAAAACAAGCCAUGGGGAAAGGACUCCCUGUUUCAUAAAUGGUGUUGGGAAAACUGGCUAGCCAUAUACAGAAAGCAGAAACUUGACCCCUUCCUGACACCUUACACUAAAUUUAACUCCAGAUGGAUUAAAGACUUAAACAUAAGAACUGGCACCAUAAAAAUCCUAGAAGAAAAUCUAGGCAAAACCAUUCAGGACAUAGGAGUAGGCAAGGACUUCAUGACCAAAACACCAAAAGCAUUGGCAACAAAAGCCAAAAUAGACAAUUGGACCUAAUCAAACUCCACAGCUUCUACACAGCAAAAGAAACAGUCACUAGAGUGAAUCCACAACCAAUAGAAUGGGAAAAAAUUUUUGCAUUUUACCCAUCUGACAAAGGGCUGAUGUCCAGAAUUUACAAAGAACUAAAACAGAUUUACAAGAAAAAAACAAACAAGCCAAUCCAAAAAUGGGCAAAGGAUAUGAACAGACACUUUACAAAAGAAGACAUACAUGAGGCCAGCAAACAUAUGAAAAAAUGCUCAUCAUUACUGAUCAUUAGAGAGAUGCAAAUCAAAACCACAUUGAGAUACCAUCUCAUGCCAGUUAGAAUGGCAAUCAUUAAAAAAUCUGGAGACAACAGAUGCUGGAGCAGAUGUGGAGAAAUAGGAACACUUUCACACUGCUGGUGGGAGUGUAAACUAGUUCAACCAUUGUGGAAGACAGUGUGGCGAUUCCUCAAGGACCUAGAAAUAGAAAUUCCAUUUGACCUAGCAGUCCCAUUACUGGGUAUAUAUCCAAAGGACUAUAAAUUGUUCUACUAUAAGGACACAUGCACACGAAUGUUCACUGCAGCACUGUUUACAAUAGCAAAGGCCUGGAACCAACCCAAAUGCCCAUCGAUGAUAGACUGGACUGGGAAAAUAUGGCACAUAUACACCAUGGAAUAUUAUGCAGCCAUCAAAAAUGAUGAGUUCAUGUCCCUACAAGGGACAUGGAUGAAUCUGGAGAACAUCAUUCUCAGCAAACUGACACAAGAACAGAAAAUAAAAUACCGCGUAUUCUCGCUCAUAGGCGGGUGAUGAACAAUGAGAACACAUGGACACAGGGAAUGGAACACUACAC
Molecule: non-coding RNA, 16416 nt
Organism: Callithrix jacchus (white-tufted-ear marmoset)
Lineage: Eukaryota; Metazoa; Chordata; Mammalia; Primates; Cebidae
Source: RefSeq, a predicted model, not a curated record